UACGGAGGGUGCAAGCGUUGUUCGGAAUCACUGGGCGUAAAGGGCGUGUAGGCGGCCUGUUAAGUCUGAUGUGAAAUCCCCUCGCUCAACGAGGGAACUGCGUCGGAAACUGGCAGGCUCGAGUACCGGAGAGGAAGGUGGAAUUCCCGGUGUAGUGGUGAAAUGCGUAGAUAUCGGGAGGAACACCAGUGGCGAAGGCGACUUCCUGGCCUGUUCUUGACGCUGAGGCGCGAAAGCUAGGGGAGCAAACGGG
Molecule: ribosomal RNA, 253 nt
Filed under: uncultured bacterium
Lineage: Bacteria
Description: partial 16S ribosomal RNA
Rfam family: Bacterial small subunit ribosomal RNA
Source: RNAcentral